Non-coding RNA from Xenopus tropicalis (tropical clawed frog), 46 nucleotides. The record is from Rfam. NCBI's taxonomy places the organism in Eukaryota, Metazoa, Chordata, Amphibia, Anura, Pipidae.
UAAAAGGCUGUUUUAGCAGCCAAACUGAUUCUAAAGAAGUGAAGAU